RNAcentral lists this long non-coding RNA (575 nucleotides) under Homo sapiens (human). RNAcentral's name for it is "non-protein coding lnc-IRF4-2:12". The record is from RNAcentral. Lineage: Eukaryota; Metazoa; Chordata; Mammalia; Primates; Hominidae.
ACUUCUCAGAUCAUCACUACAGCGUUUGCAGCUUUCCAGCUCAUCAUGCUGAACUGAAGACAAGACGAGGGGAAAAUCAAGGGGCAUCCACAUUAAUCUGGAUAAAGGCUGCUUCUUCAGCCACAGCUAAGGUGCAUGUAAUAGGAAUGAGAGCCACCUGUGUUUCAGAAAGCGUCUGGGAUUUUAGAGCUGCUUGUAACUGCAGCCUAACACAGCCUCAGCCGACUGAUACAUCCAGUGUCGUCAAAACAGAGCAGAGCCAGAAACUGGAAGCAGCUCAGACGUCCAUCAAAGGAAGACGAAUUCAUGAACUGCGGUAUAUUUAUAUGAUGGAAUACCACACAAUAAGAAGGGACAAGCUACUGACAUAUGCAACAACAUGGAUGAAUCUCAGAAACAAUGUAUUGAACAGAAGAAGCCAGAUAAAAAAGAUACUGUGUGAUUCCACUUAUAUUUCAAGAACAGGCAAAGCAACUCUGUGGCAACAGAGGUCAGAACAGUGUUUAUCUGUAGUGUCCAGGUCAGUGGUUACUGGGUAAAUACAUGGGGAAUAUUUUUGGAUGUUGAAAAUGUUC